GGACAGUGGGCUGACUAUACAUGCAAGUCGAACGCGUUGGCCCAAUUGAUUGAUGGUGCUUGCACCUGAUUGAUUUUGGUCGCCAACGAGUGGCGGACGGGUGAGUAACACGUAGGUAACCUACCCAGAAGCGGGGGACAACAUUUGGAAACAGAUGCUAAUACCGCAUAACAACGUUGUUCGCAUGAACAACGCUUAAAAGAUGGCUUCUCGCUAUCACUUCUGGAUGGACCUGCGGUGCAUUAGCUUGUUGGUGGGGUAACGGCCUACCAAGGCGAUGAUGCAUAGCCGAGUUGAGAGACUGAUCGGCCACAAUGGGACUGAGACACGGCCCAUACUCCUACGGGAGGCAGCAGUAGGGAAUCUUCCACAAUGGGCGCAAGCCUGAUGGAGCAACACCGCGUGAGUGAAGAAGGGUUUCGGCUCGUAAAGCUCUGUUGUUAAAGAAGAACACGUAUGAGAGUAACUGUUCAUACGUUGACGGUAUUUAACCAGAAAGUCACGGCUAACUACGUGCCAGCAGCCGCGGUAAUACGUAGGUGGCAAGCGUUAUCCGGAUUUAUUGGGCGUAAAGAGAGUGCAGGCGGUUUUCUAAGUCUGAUGUGAAAGCCUUCGGCUUAACCGGAGAAGUGCAUCGGAAACUGGAUAACUUGAGUGCAGAAGAGGGUAGUGGAACUCCAUGUGUAGCGGUGGAAUGCGUAGAUAUAUGGAAGAACACCAGUGGCGAAGCGGCUACCUGGUCUGCAACUGACGCUGAGACUCGAAAGCAUGGGUAGCGAACAGGAUUAGAUACCCUGGGUAGUCCAUGGCC
Molecule: ribosomal RNA, 811 nt
Filed under: Limosilactobacillus fermentum
Lineage: Bacteria; Bacillati; Bacillota; Bacilli; Lactobacillales; Lactobacillaceae
Description: bacterial SSU rRNA
Rfam family: Bacterial small subunit ribosomal RNA
Source: RNAcentral